This 386-nucleotide ribosomal RNA is filed under the name uncultured organism. RNAcentral's name for it is "bacterial SSU rRNA". It matches the Rfam family "Bacterial small subunit ribosomal RNA", at positions 45 to 433 of the family's 1533-position model. The record is from RNAcentral.
UGCCUAAUACAUGCAAGUCGAACGAGGAAAGCCUUCGGGUGAGUACUAGUGGCGCACGGGUGAGUAACGCGUGGGUAAUCUGCCUUAGAGUGGGGGACAACCAGUCGAAAGAUUGGCUAAUACCGCAUAAGACCACAGGAUCUGCGGAUCUAGGGGUUAAAGGUUUUUCGCUCUAAGAUGAGCCCGCGUGGGAUUAGCUAGUUGGUAGGGUAACGGCCUACCAAGGCUACGAUCUCUAACUGGUCUGAGAGGAUGAUCAGUCACACUGGAACUGAGACACGGUCCAGACUCCUACGGGAGGCAGCAGUAGGGAAUAUUGCACCAUGGAGGAAACUCUGAUGCAGCGACGCCGCGUGAGUGUUGUAUGACUUCGGUUCGUAAAGCUC